RNAcentral lists this ribosomal RNA (319 nucleotides) under uncultured bacterium. Its description in RNAcentral is "bacterial SSU rRNA". It matches the Rfam family "Bacterial small subunit ribosomal RNA", at positions 28 to 334 of the family's 1533-position model. The record is from RNAcentral.
GAUAAACGCUGGCGGCGCACAUAAGACAUGCAAGUCGAACGGACUUAACUCAUUCUUUUAGAUUGAGAGCGGUUAGUGGCGGACUGGUGAGUAACACGUAGGUAACCUGCCCAUGUGCCCGGGAUAAUUUCUGGAAACGGAAACUAAAACCGGAUAGGUAGGGAUCUCGCAUGAGGACCUUAUUAAAGGGGCUGCGGCCCUGAACAUGGAUGGACCUGCGGUGCAUUAGCUGGUUGGUGGGGUAACGGCCUACCAAGGCGACGAUGCGUAGCCGACCUGAGAGGGUGACCGGCCACACUGGGACUGAGACACGGCCCAG